Molecule: ribosomal RNA, 546 nt
Filed under: Triticum aestivum (bread wheat)
Lineage: Eukaryota; Viridiplantae; Streptophyta; Magnoliopsida; Poales; Poaceae
Description: partial small subunit ribosomal RNA
Source: RNAcentral
AUGUUUAGGGGAUCCAUCCGAGGCCACGCUCCGGGCUUGAAUCGUAAUAGAGAAAGCAGCCAUUGCCUACUCUACGACGAUUAUUUCGAGCUCACAAGCCCACUUUUCAAUGCCAAGCUUUUCCCGCAACGCUUCCGAAUGGUGAGACAUGUGUUCAACCGUCUUGGGGGGGGGGAUGCCCUUGGGAAGGUUGGCUUCUCUUAUCAAAAAUGUACUGCAGCUGUUCGGAUGCUUGCAUACGGCAUUCGCGGUGAUGGCAUUUUACAGGUUCUGCAAAGCUGUGGUUGCAUUGUUUGGCAAGGAGUACUUAGAGAACCAAAUGCUACGGAUACAACUCGGUUGUUAGCAAUCAAUGAAUCGAGAGGCUUUCUGGGGAUGCUUGGAAGCAUAGAUAGUAUGCACUGGGCGUGGAAGAACUGUCCAUUUGCUUGGCAGGGGCAAUAUAAGAGACAUUUUAAGGCUUGCACGGUCAUACUUGAAGCUGUGCUAUCACAAGAUCUCUGGAUUUGGCACUCUUCUUUUUGGCAUGGCAGGUUCUCACAAUGA